RNAcentral lists this ribosomal RNA (843 nucleotides) under uncultured bacterium. RNAcentral's name for it is "bacterial SSU rRNA". It matches the Rfam family "Bacterial small subunit ribosomal RNA", at positions 9 to 845 of the family's 1533-position model. The record is from RNAcentral.
GAGUUUGAUCCUGGCUCAGGAUGAACGCUAGCGGCAGGCCUAACACAUGCAAGUCGAGGGGUAACAGGGAAAAGCUUGCUUUUCCGCUGACGACCGGCGCACGGGUGAGUAACGCGUAUGCAACCUACCUUUUACAGGAGUAUAGCCCAGAGAAAUUUGGAUUAAUCCUCUAUAAUAUCUUAUUCAUGCAUAUGAAAAAGAUUAAAGCUUCGGUGGUAAAAGAUGGGCAUGCGUUUUAUUAGCUAGUAGGUGAGGUAACGGCUCACCUAGGCCACGAUAAAUAGGGGCCCUGAGAGGGGGACCCCCCACACUGGUACUGAGACACGGACCAGACUCCUACGGGAGGCAGCAGUGAGGAAUAUUGGACAAUGGACGAAAGUCUGAUCCAGCCAUGCCGCGUGCAGGAUGACGGCCCUAUGGGUUGUAAACUGCUUUUAUACAGGAAGAAACACUCCCACGUGUGGGGGCUUGACGGUACUGUACGAAUAAGGAUCGGCUAACUCCGUGCCAGCAGCCGCGGUAAUACGGAGGAUCCAAGCGUUAUCCGGAAUUAUUGGGUUUAAAGGGUCCGCAGGCGGUCUAUUAAGUCAGAGGUGAAAUCUUGCAGCUCAACUGUAAAAUUGCCUUUGAUACUGGUAGACUUGAGUCAUUGUGAAGUGGUUAGAAUGUGUGGUGUAGCGGUGAAAUGCAUAGAUAUCACACAGAAUACCAAUUGCGAAGGCAGAUCACUAACAAUGUACUGACGCUCAUGGACGAAAGCGUGGGGAGCGAACAGGAUUAGAUACCCUGGGUAGUCCACGCCGUAAACGAUGGAUACUAACUGUUCGACCUUCGGGUUGAGUG